RNAcentral lists this transfer RNA (59 nucleotides) under Nomascus concolor (Black crested gibbon). Its description in RNAcentral is "tRNA-Ser". RNAcentral also lists the same sequence under 4 other names. Lineage: Eukaryota; Metazoa; Chordata; Mammalia; Primates; Hylobatidae. The record is from RNAcentral.
GGGAAAGCCCACAAGAACUGCUAACUCACUACCCCAUGUAUAACAACAUGGCUUUCUCA